AAUCCUUUGAUUUUGGGGAGGAUAUAAAGCGAGUGGCACUUAUAAUACAUGCUAGGGUGAGAGAUGAAGAGGUUUUUUGCUCAUACAAGUGAGGAAUAUCUUAGAGCCAGCUAAUGAAAACUAGAGGGAAUAUAUAAUUUUGCAUAGUUAAUUGAUGGUUCAGGAUCGUAUUAGGCUUUUAGAGUAAGAUCUAAGCUUAGAUGCGUAGUUGAGAGACCACGCUUCCACUGAAACAAGGGGGAGUCUUAUAUAGGGGCUGCAGUAGAGAAUAUUGUGCAAUGUAUGAAAAUAUGACACAGAGAUGUUGCAAAUAAGGCUGUCUAAUAUACGUGCCAGCAGACGCGGUUAAACGUAAGGCCUGAGUUUUUAUCAUAAAAGGCGUAAAGGGUAUGUAGGUGUGAUUUAAUAGGGGUUUUAAAGGGGUAAAUAGAAUGGUUUAUGUAGGGAUGGAAAGCCAUAAUAUAAAUUGGAAUAUCAAGGGCGUAGGCAAUUUACUGGUUAAAACAAAAGCUGAUAUACGAAAGUAGGGGGAGCAACCGGGGUAGUAAACCCGUUAGUCCUUACUGUAAACUCUGAAUUUUAGAUUUUAGAAGAAUCUAUGAUAACUUAAGAAAAUUUUCGCCUGGAGAGUAUGGUCGCAAGAUUAAAAUUUAAAAAAUUUGGCGGUUCACCAGUAUAAUUAGAGGAGCGUGUGGUUUAAUUCGAUGAUCCGCGAAUAAUUUUACCAAAAUUGGAAGGGGUGUAGAGUGUUUCUGAGUUAUUACACUGAGCACCGGUAUUGCAUGGCCGUCGUCAGUUUGUGUUUUGAAAGAAAUAGAAUGGGCUCAAUCCUAGGUUAUGAAUCAUCAAAUAGAUAAAUAAUCAAGGACGAGGUCAGGUCGUUAUGAUCCUAAUGUUUUGGGCUAUACAUGCGCUACACUUAUGUAUAUACAAAGAUGAGUUAGUUCAAAAGUAAAAGAUUGGAGUACUUUUUGAAAUAGAGAGUAUGAAAUGGGAUUUAAUAGUAAUCGGAAAGUAGGGCGUUCUGGUGAAUAAUCAUUUGGUGUUCGUACAAAUUGCCCGUCACCUUAGCUAAGUAAAUGUUUCUAAAGUGUAAAGUAAUAAGAUAAGGGAUAAAACUGAAUAUGGUUGAGGGUUAAGUAAGGGCUUAUUUUGUGCUAUAUAUGACGAAAAAUUUAUAAGGUCGAGAAAGUCGUAACAGAGUAAGAGGAUUGGAAAAUCUUCUUGGAUUAAU
RNAcentral lists this ribosomal RNA (1234 nucleotides) under Negombata magnifica. RNAcentral describes it as "small subunit rRNA". It matches the Rfam family "Bacterial small subunit ribosomal RNA". The record is from RNAcentral. Lineage: Eukaryota; Metazoa; Porifera; Demospongiae; Poecilosclerida; Latrunculiidae.